UACGUAGGCAGCGAGCGUUGUUCGGAGUUACUGGGCGUAAAGGGUGUGUAGGCGGUUUUCUAAGUUUGGUGUGAAAUCUCCCGGCUUAACCGGGAGGGUGCGCCGAAAACUGGGAGACUAGAGUGCGGGAUGGGAGAGUAGAAUUCCUGGUGUAGCGGUAAUAUGCGUAGAUAUCGGGAGGAACACCAGUGGCGAAGGCGGCUCUCUGGGGUAUUUCUGACGCUGAGGCACGAAAGCCAGGGGAGCGAACGGG
RNAcentral lists this ribosomal RNA (253 nucleotides) under uncultured bacterium. RNAcentral describes it as "partial 16S ribosomal RNA". It matches the Rfam family "Bacterial small subunit ribosomal RNA", at positions 524 to 776 of the family's 1533-position model. The record is from RNAcentral.